AUGCAUGUUCCAUUUCCUUCAUCUGCAAAACAGACACAAGCAUUUCACCUGGGAGGAGCUACACACCCAGGAUUUGCUGCCUCUGAGCUUGGUGAAAAUCGGAUAGCGGCAGUCACACAAAGUCAGGUGACAGAGAAGGACGGCCAUGCAAUUGCUGAAAAACCCCAAAUCCAGAAGCACCGGUGGGUGAGGAGAGAAGUCAUUGUCACCUGCCUCUGAAGAGGAGGAGGAAGUAAAAGCUGAAAAACAACAGGAAUGAAGUUAGUGGCAAGGAACUCCAGCCAGAGUGCCACGGAUGACCAGGCCUGAGUGUCACAGGAGUUUUGUCUGCGGCUCGUCCUGCUGCGUGGGAACUGAGUUUGCACUUGAGUCUCAGAAGGACAGAAACAUCAAAGAAUUUUAUUACAGAUAUUUGACUCUAUAAUUGGAAUUUAGACCCCACACCGACCUCCCU
Molecule: non-coding RNA, 454 nt
Organism: Chlorocebus sabaeus (green monkey)
Lineage: Eukaryota; Metazoa; Chordata; Mammalia; Primates; Cercopithecidae
Source: RefSeq, a predicted model, not a curated record